Molecule: ribosomal RNA, 465 nt
Filed under: uncultured bacterium
Lineage: Bacteria
Description: partial 16S ribosomal RNA
Rfam family: Bacterial small subunit ribosomal RNA
Source: RNAcentral
GACGAACGCUGGCGGCGUGCUUAACACAUGCAAGUCGUACGGUAAGGCCCUUUCGGGGGUACACGAGUGGCGAACGGGUGCGUAACACGUGAGUAACCUGUCCACAACUUUGGGAUAACGCUAGGAAACUGGUGCUAAUACUGGAUAUGUGCUCCUGCUGCAUGGUGGGGGUUGGAAAGCUCCGGCGGUUGUGGAUGGACUCGCGGCCUAUCAGCUUGUUGGUGGGGUAGUGGCCUACCAAGGCGGCGACGGGAAGCCGGCCUGAGAGGGUGACCGGCCACCUUGGGACUGAGAUACGGCCCAGGUUGCGACGGGAGGGAGCAGUGGGGAAGAUUGAACAAUGGGCGCAAGCCUGAUGCAGCAACGCCGCGUGCGGGAUGACGGCCUUAGGGUUGUAAACCGCUUUCAGCAGGGACGAAGCUUUUUGUGACGGUACCUGCAGAAGAAGCACCGGCUAACUACGUG